AGAGUUGAUCCUGGCUCAGAACGAACGCUGGCGGCGUGCUUAACACAUGCAAGUCGCACGAGAAAGUCCUUCGGGGCGAGUAGAGUGGCGCACGGGUGAGUAAUACAUGGGAAUGUACCUACAGGUGGGGGAUAACCACGGGAAACUGUGGCUAAUACCGCAUAGUCUCGAGAGAGUAAAGGUGGCUUAAAACCCAUUUAUAAGCAGUUACUUAGGUGACUGCUUACAUAAUGGGUAUAGCUAUCGCCAGUAGAUCAGCCCAUGUCCCAUUAGCUUGUUGGCGGGGUAACGGCCACCAAGGCUACGAUGGGUAGCUGGUCUGAGAGGAUGAUCAGCCACACUGGAACUGAGACACGGUCCAGACUCCUACGGGAGGCAGCAGUGGGGAAUAUUGCACAAUGGGGGAAACCCUGAUGCAGCAACGCCGCGUGAGUGAAGAAGGCUCUUGGGUCGUAAAGCUCUUUCGGCUGGGAAGAAGGGCUCUGAGGUGAAUAAUCUCGGAGUUUGACGGUACCAGAAGAAGAAGGACCUGCUAACUGCGUGCCAGCAGCAGCGGUAAUACGUGGGGUCCGAGCGUUGU
This 580-nucleotide ribosomal RNA is filed under the name uncultured Pseudomonadota bacterium. RNAcentral's name for it is "bacterial SSU rRNA". It matches the Rfam family "Bacterial small subunit ribosomal RNA", at positions 8 to 544 of the family's 1533-position model. Lineage: Bacteria; Pseudomonadati; Pseudomonadota. The record is from RNAcentral.